Leptopilina heterotoma is the source of this 1442-nucleotide long non-coding RNA. RefSeq lists it as uncharacterized. The record is from RefSeq and is a predicted model, not a curated record. The transcript is spliced from 3 exons. Lineage: Eukaryota; Metazoa; Arthropoda; Insecta; Hymenoptera; Figitidae.
ACUUCAACUGCUGGACUCGGACGAUGAAUAAUGGCCGACUACACGCCGCCAGGCAGUUGGGAAACGAAGGAGGAGAAGCAAAACGGAAGCGACGCAGAAAAUAUGCGAAGCGGAACAAAACAAUGAUUCUCCGGGAUCUCAGGUCAAUUCUCCAGGCAAUGUGUUUACAUUCGGUUUGCAAACAAAGGAGUCGAUUAACAGGUCAUAACUCGUGAAAAUUGAAAUUCAGAAUACAAUAGAAAAUACAUUUUGUGCACAGUUUCAAUCUGCGAAUCCUUCUAUUAACACUAAACAUUACAUCAUUGUGAAUACCUAAUUUCGGAAAAGCAACAUGUUCAAAAAAUUUGCAACUGUUGCAAUUUUCACAAAAAAAAAACUGUUAAAAUAAUUCUAAAAAUUAUUAGCUUCGGGAGUUUUCGCAAAUUUUCUAAAACCGCGAUCGUUUAUAGGGUGUUUAUUAAUAUUUUUCUUUUGUUAAAUUCCAGUUUUAAGUGUACGCAUAAAUUAUAAUAUUCAUGAAAAGUUUCGGGUGCGUUCGAAUUUUCUUAUAAUCGCGUUCGUUUGAUAAUUGGUAUUUAAUUGUGAUUUCGGGAGUGUUCGCGAAUUUUUUUUCAAAUUGUGUGUUUUGAAAUGGAUAUUCGAGGGAUUCUCUAGGAUGGAGGUCGGGCAUGGAAGAAUGAAGUCAAAGACUGAUAGACAGGAAGGAGGAACGUGGAAAAAGUGACCCCCUGCAGAGACUACGGAUUGGCCGUGAAAAAGUGGUGAUGCUGCCAGAGCUCUUCAUCGAGGGAGUCAACGAACUGCAAGUCGAUUUUUUUUACAUUUACAUAGCGACACUAAUUUACUCAUUUUUCAACAAUUCACAAAUUCAAAAAGUGUUUGGAUUUUUUCAUUUUGAGUUUCGAAGGUUUGGAACUCAGGUGUUCGGAUGCGUCCGGAAACUUAUGAAGUCUAAAGAUUUUUAAAAACCCUUUUUAUAUGCUUUAGGUUCGCAUAUGAUUUUGCUAUGACCCUUAAGAAUUUGUAUCUGGACGGUAUGUGAGAGAAUCUUGAAAAACGUUAUAAUUUAGAAGAAUCUGGUUAUUAGGAGUGUUUUCAGAAUAGUUGUAGGUAUUUCUUUUUUUGCUGCGUAUGAGAAUAAAAGGCGAACUUUUAUAAUCAAAUUAAGUUAAUUACAAAUUAAGUAAUUAAGAAGUUAUUAUUAAAUAGUGCAGUAGGUAGAGCGACAAAACAAUGUUAAAUUAUUUUAUUCCAUGCCUUAGUGUCGCUAUGUUUUUUCCUAUUAUUUUUAUUUCACCUUUGCAGUUUUUGGCAAAAAAUAUCUUAUUCUACAAACGGUAGCAUAGAAUAUUUUUUUGCAAACUUGUCAAAGAAGUGAAAAAUACACAAUACAAAAAAAAAUGUUUUUGUAUUGUGUUUUCGUUUGCUUUCUUAUUUUCCAG